AGUGAACGCUGGCGGCAUGCCUAACACAUGCAAGUCGAACGGCAGCACAGUAAGAGCUUGCGCCUACUGGUGGCGAGGGGCGGACUGGUGAGGAAUACAUCCGAAGCUACUUUUUCGCGGGGGAUAACGUAGGCAAACUUACGCUAUGACCUCAUACUACCAACGGGGGAAAGCAGAGGAUCGUUUGACCUCGCGCGUUUGAAUGAGCCGAUGUCGGAUUAGCUAGUUGGCGGGGUAAAGGCCCACCAAGGCGACGAUCCGUAGCUGGUCUGAGAGGAUGAUCAGCCACACUGGAACUGAGACACGGUCCAGACUCCUACGGGAGGCAGCAGUGGGGAAUAUUGGACAAUGGGCGCAAGCCUGAUCCAGCCAUGCCGCGUGGGUGAAGAAGGCCUUCGGGUUGUAAAGCCCUUUUGUUAGGAAAGAAAAGGUGCAGGUUAAUACCGCGCGGUUCUGACGGUACCUAAAGAAUAAGCACCGGCUAACUUCGUG
This 492-nucleotide ribosomal RNA is filed under the name uncultured bacterium. RNAcentral describes it as "partial 16S ribosomal RNA". It matches the Rfam family "Bacterial small subunit ribosomal RNA", at positions 29 to 507 of the family's 1533-position model. The record is from RNAcentral.